AUACGGAGGGUGCUAGCGUUAUUCGGAUUUACUGGGCGUAAAGGGCGCGUAGGCGGCUUGAUAAGUCAGAUGUGAAAGCCCGGGGCUUAACCCCGGAAGUGCAUUUGAAACUAUUAGGCUUGAGAAUGGGAGAGGGAAGUGGAAUUCCUGGUGUAGCGGUGAAAUGCGUAGAUAUCAGGAGGAACACCGGUGGCGAAGGCGACUUCCUGGACCAAUACUGACGCUGAGGCGCGAAGGCGUGGGGAGCAAACAGGAUUAGAUACCCCAGUAGUCC
This 274-nucleotide ribosomal RNA is filed under the name uncultured bacterium. RNAcentral's name for it is "partial 16S ribosomal RNA". It matches the Rfam family "Bacterial small subunit ribosomal RNA", at positions 523 to 796 of the family's 1533-position model. The record is from RNAcentral.